AGUGGCAGACGGGUGAGUAACAUGUGGGUAUCUACCCUUUGGCCUGGAAUAACACGAGGAAACUUGUGCUAAUACCGGAUAAGUCUUUACGGAGAAAGCUUUAUGCACCAUUGGAUGAGCCCGCACUUGAUUAGUUUGUUGGUAGGGUAAUGGCCUACCAAGACUAUGAUCAAUAGCUGAUUUGAGAGGAUGAUCAGCCACAUUGGGACUGAGACACGGCCCAAACUCCUACGGGAGGCAGCAGUGGGGAAUCUUGCACAAUGGAGGAAACUCUGAUGCAGCGAUGCCGCGUGAGUGAAGAAGGCCUUUGGGUUGUAAAGCUCUUUCGUCGGGGAAGAAAAUGACUGUACCCGAAUAAGAAGGUCCGGCUAACUUCGUGCCAGCAGCCGCGGUAAUACGAAGGGACCUAGCGUAGUUCGGAAUUACUGGGCUUAAAGAGUUCGUAGGUGGUUGAAAAAGUUGGUGGUGAAAUCCCAGAGCUUAACUCUGGAACUGCCAUCAAAACUUUUCAGCUAGAGUAUGAUAGAGGAAAGCAGAAUUUCUAGUGUAGAGGUGAAAUUCGUAGAUAUUAGAAAGAAUACCAACUGCGAAGGCAGCUUUCUGGAUCAUUACUGACACUGAGGAACGAAAGCAUGGGUAGCGAAGAGGAUUAGAUACCCUCGUAGUCCAUGCCGA
RNAcentral lists this ribosomal RNA (675 nucleotides) under uncultured bacterium. RNAcentral describes it as "bacterial SSU rRNA". It matches the Rfam family "Bacterial small subunit ribosomal RNA", at positions 94 to 803 of the family's 1533-position model. The record is from RNAcentral.